This 429-nucleotide ribosomal RNA is filed under the name uncultured bacterium. RNAcentral describes it as "bacterial SSU rRNA". It matches the Rfam family "Bacterial small subunit ribosomal RNA", at positions 355 to 776 of the family's 1533-position model. The record is from RNAcentral.
UGGGGAAUUUUGGACAAUGGGCGCAAGCCUGAUCCAGCCAUGCCGCGUGAGUGAAGAAGGCCUUCGGGUUGUAAAGCUCUUUCGGCAGGAACGAAAUGGUACGUGCUAAUACCACGGACUGAUGACGGUACCUGAAGAAGAAGCACCGGCUAACUACGUGCCAGCAGCCGCGGUAAUACGUAGGGUGCAGGCGUUAAUCGGAAUUACUGGGCGUAAAGCGUGCGCAGGCGGUUAUACAAGACAGGCGUGAAAUCCCCGGGCUUAACCUGGGAAUGGCGCCUGUGACUGUAUAGCUAGAGUGUGUCAGAGGGGGGUAGAAUUCCACGUGUAGCAGUGAAAUGCGUAGAGAUGUGGAGGAACACCGAUGGCGAAGGCAGCCCCCUGGGUCAACACUGACGCUCAUGCACGAAAGCGUGGGGAGCAAACAGG